RNAcentral lists this ribosomal RNA (506 nucleotides) under uncultured bacterium. RNAcentral describes it as "partial 16S ribosomal RNA". It matches the Rfam family "Bacterial small subunit ribosomal RNA", at positions 28 to 508 of the family's 1533-position model. The record is from RNAcentral.
GACGAACGCUGGCGGCGUGCCUAAUACAUGCCAGUAGAACGCACAGUUUAUACCGUAGCUUGCUACACCAUAGACUGUGAGUUGCGAACGGGUGAGUAACGCGUAGGUAACCUGCCUGGUAGCGGGGGAUAACUAUUGGAAACGAUAGCUAAUACCGCAUAAUAUUAAUUAUUGCAUGAUAAUUAAUUGAAAGGUGCAAUUGCACCACUACCAGAUGGACCUGCGUUGUAUUAGCUAGUAGGUGAGGUAACGGCUCACCUAGGCGACGAUACAUAGCCGACCUGAGAGGGUGAUCGGCCACACUGGGACUGAGACACGGCCCAGACUCCUACGGGAGGCAGCAGUAGGGAAUCUUCGGCAAUGGACGAAAGUCUGACCGAGCAACGCCGCGUGAGUGAAGAAGGUGUUCGGAUCGUAAAGCUCUGUUGUAAGAGAAGAACGGGUGUGAGAGUGGAAAGUUCACACUGUGACGGUAUCUUACCAGAAAGGGACGGCUAACUACGUGC